This 378-nucleotide unclassified non-coding RNA is filed under the name uncultured Gammaproteobacteria bacterium. RNAcentral describes it as "contains 16S-23S intergenic spacer region". Lineage: Bacteria; Pseudomonadati; Pseudomonadota; Gammaproteobacteria. The record is from RNAcentral.
UCCGGCUUAUCACCGGCAGUCGCCUUAGAGUGCCCGGCCUAACCGAUGGCAACUGAAGAUGGGGGUUGCGCUCGUUGCGGGACUUAACCCAACAUCUCACGACACGAGCUGACGACAGCCAUGCAGCACCUGUGUCUAAGUUCCCUUUCGGGCACACUCACAUCUCUGCGAGCUUCCUAGCAUGUCAAGGGUAGGUAAGGUUUUUCGCGUUGCAUCGAAUUAAUCCACAUAAUCCACCGCUUGUGCGGGUCCCCGUCAAUUCCUUUGAGUUUUAACCUUGCGGCCGUACUCCCCAGGCGGUCAACUUCACGCGUUAGCUUCGUUACCAAGGAAUUGCUUCCCCGACAACCAGUUGACAUCGUUUAGGGCGUGGACUAC